UGUCUGCGCGUGCGCCUCAGCCGGUGCCGCCACUUCCGCCGCCGUUCUCGCUCGGUUCCGGUUUCUUUCUCCACCUACUCCGCCGUUAGUGAUCUCCCUUAAUGUGACCUCCGUGCGUGCUGGGAGAUUCGGGACGAGUUGUGAGCCAGUUUGCAGUCUGGGCCUCAGUCUCCGUCGCACAGAGUCAAAGUAACCCCAAUGCGGAGCCAGGGUCUCUGGUCAGCCGUCAGGUGCAGCACCCGUGACCGCGGACAGAGUCGGCUUUGCCUUUACUCGGCGCCUGCCGCACCCGCGUUGUGUGCAGUCUUCACGGCCACCCCGCGAGGCAAACAACUGCUGAAUACCACAUGAAGGUGCCCGCGACAGAGUAAGAGUGUUGCUGUUUUGUUGUGAUGUGUUACCGUUAAACCCAGGGCCCUGCAUAUGCGUGCUAAGCACUGAGCUGCUCCCUGUCCUGGGCUGAGGGUAUUUCAGGUGGUCGUAUCUUGAAGAGGGCGUACAGUUAUUGACCACUCUACUUUAUCCCCUGUCCUCGUCAAGUUCCCACUCUGGCUCUUCUCCCAGACACCUGGCUGUGGCAGACACCCACCCUUGACCAUCACUCCAGCCCACAUGGCGCAUACAGGAUCCCAGAUGUGAAAUCAGUCUCACAGAGACAAGGGCCUGGAAAGGCAUAGCCGGGAGGGAGCUAAGGAAGGCUGGAGUCACUCCAUGGGGACAAAAGGACACCUCAGCUUAUCUCUGCCAGAGGAAAUCAUGAGAACCAGAAAAGCACUCCACAAACCCAGCUGCACAUAUGGAAAUCUGUCCACGCAGUGUGCAGACCUGCCUGCCUUGAUUGGGCGAGGUGACGACUACAAAUAAGAAGGGACAUGGGGAAAUCAGCCCCUCGCAGCGCACCAUCCCGGGGGCCUGCAUGACACCAGCUUCCCUCCAGGAGCCUGGGAGUGUUACCGUCGGUGUCGGAGUGGAUGACGUCCACGAACAGGGCGUCACUGGGAUCCAACCUGUCCUCUGAAGGUCUCCCGUUGAAGGAAGGGCCCGCAGGGUCAAGACCUGGAAGGAAAGCAGCGUGGUUUGGCAGCCCCGCGCCAUG
Molecule: long non-coding RNA, 1096 nt
Organism: Fukomys damarensis (Damara mole-rat)
Lineage: Eukaryota; Metazoa; Chordata; Mammalia; Rodentia; Bathyergidae
Exons: 3
Source: RefSeq, a predicted model, not a curated record